GCCCUUCACUUAUAUGGGAAUAUCCAUGAGAAAGAAACAUAAAGGAUCCUGGGCAGGCGUUGAAAAUAAGGAAGAGAGAGGAAGAAAACCACAAAGAAAGAGGCAUACAAAAAGUUUAAAAAAGCUAUAUAUAUAUACACAGAGCUGGAGGUGAACCCAAACACUCAGAGGUAAUUUGCCUUGAGGAGCAAGAGCCCUUGAGACCUAUGUGUGGACUUUGGAAAAAAGAAUGUGUGAACAAUAGUAAAGGAUAUGAACGUGCCAUCCUCUGACAGGUAUGUAAACCUUAAGAUUAAAAUAACUGCUUCAAAAAUCCUUCUGUCAGAGUGAGUUUUCUUUAGCUAGUGUGGGUUUCAGAGGAACUAUCACAAAGACGAUAUAUAUCAAAAGUGGAGACAGCAAAGGAAAAUUCUGUGUGAAAUAUCUAAACAGGUCUGUUCUUGAAGCAUAUUCUCUACAGCCUGACAAGAUUGCUGUGACAUUAGCAUAGUGUUAUAUAGAAUCAGGUAAUUUUGGAUUAGAACUAGUGGAUUUUUGAGAUAUUCCGCUUAAGUUGGAACACCUCAUAACUAAAUUUAAUAUUUUAAGAAAGCAGUUGGUGAAGAAAG
Molecule: long non-coding RNA, 608 nt
Filed under: Phasianus colchicus (ring-necked pheasant)
Lineage: Eukaryota; Metazoa; Chordata; Aves; Galliformes; Phasianidae
Description: lncRNA (ENSPCLG00000003682.1)
Source: RNAcentral